AACGAACGCUGGCGGCAGGCUUAACACAUGCAAGUCGAGCGCCCCGCAAGGGGAGCGGCAGACGGGUGAGUAACGCGUGGGAACGUACCUUUUGCUACGGAAUAACUCAGGGAAACUUGUGCUAAUACCGUAUGUGCCCUUCGGGGGAAAGAUUUAUCGGCAAAGGAUCGGCCCGCGUUGGAUUAGCUAGUUGGUGAGGUAAAGGCUCACCAAGGCGACGAUCCAUAGCUGGUCUGAGAGGAUGAUCAGCCACACUGGGACUGAGACACGGCCCAG
RNAcentral lists this ribosomal RNA (276 nucleotides) under uncultured bacterium. RNAcentral describes it as "partial 16S ribosomal RNA". It matches the Rfam family "Bacterial small subunit ribosomal RNA", at positions 29 to 334 of the family's 1533-position model. The record is from RNAcentral. RNAcentral also lists the same sequence under 1 other name.